GACUAAAUGGCAGAUUAUAGCACAAAAAAUAGCCAACACGUUUUACUCCGUUUAUUGCGCCAUUGUGCAGAGUAUUGACACAGAGUUGUAUGGCAAUACUGACUCCCUAAUAAAGUAAAGAAUGUAUUGUUGAUAAAGCCUUAAAAUCAAAUUUUCUACAGAUCUCUCGUACAGCGAUGACACUCUGGAUCUCUGUGAGGAAAUGCUGCAGAUCUCCAUGUUAGUGAAGGAGCUCCCGGCCUCACUGCCACAUUCUGGGUAUGAAGAACUAGAGGAUAUGAUGUUCUUCAGCCUGUGGAGAGCAAUGAUCAACAGGGCAACCUGCAUAUCAGUGGGCUCAUAAGCUGGUGCAGGUUUCUGAUAGGCCACCGCCGGUCCAUUAGGACUUUGGGGUGGUCACACCGGCCCAGUGGUGCACACAGAAGGUCAGUCAGUUGUUUACACAGCAUGCAUACUCACGCCUCAUGAAUAAUAGAUUGAGAUGUACCCGAGUCACAAAGUUUACGUUUCCCAAUUUAAAUAGAGCAAUAUUUCAAAUCAUUUUUUGACAGGCUGUCGGUAUCAAAAAUGUGGAUUUUACAAAGCUGGUUCAUUUGUGGCCAUUCAAAAUCUGAGCUUAUACAAGACCAACAUGCAUUCAGCUUUGAGCAGAAAAGUUUCUCGUAUUUUCAAGCUCAAAUAGCAGGCAGCGUUACAUGAUUCACUUUUAGCU
This is a long non-coding RNA of Carassius auratus (goldfish), 712 nucleotides long. RefSeq lists it as uncharacterized. Lineage: Eukaryota; Metazoa; Chordata; Actinopteri; Cypriniformes; Cyprinidae. The record is from RefSeq and is a predicted model, not a curated record. The transcript has 3 exons.